RNAcentral lists this long non-coding RNA (2104 nucleotides) under Anneissia japonica. RNAcentral's name for it is "uncharacterized LOC117101093, transcript variant X2". The record is from RNAcentral. Lineage: Eukaryota; Metazoa; Echinodermata; Crinoidea; Comatulida; Comatulidae.
CAAAGUACCGGUAGUAAAUACAUCCGUUGAGAUGUGCGUAGAGAUUGUCUGCAGUGGUUGCGCAGGUGCCUUGAUAAAGGAUGAUCGGUCUUUUAGUUAGCAGCAGCACGGGUAAUUGAUGUAGCCGAUUAAAAACGAGUAUUUUAGCUUCUUUGAUGUACAUUUUAAGUGAGGGAAUUACUGUGUGAUAAUAAUAACGCUUCAUCGACACCUUCGUUGAUUUAGGACAGUUUGACGCACAUGUGCAUUGAGGAAUUUAAUCAUAAAUGCAACAGAUCAAUUAUUUUGCAUAUAAUUUUGAUCGAAGUGUAUUUUAAAACCAGCCGUCGUGAGUAUUCCUCAGACAGUUUAGUGACGACGACCACCGACUGCGCGCGGAAUCGUGUACAAGCAUAAGUCGACGAUUUUUUAAACAUGUGACCUAUAGAAACGCCCACAGGGUACUUUACGCAGUGUGACGUUUUGCCACAAAUAUGAAAAUCAGUAAUGAACUAGCAACGAGGUAUUGUAUCUCUCUCGGUUCAUUGAUGUAAGGGAAAACCCACUGAUUAUCUUAUGCUCUGAGUUCAAUCUGAUGUUGAAAUAACAUCACACAAGGACGGUUAAGCGUUUCGCAGAUUCGGUGCUUUGCUAUAUCGAAAACUGGGAAUACAUAUUUUGAUUUCAGCUGCAUCUAGUAGAGUUGGGGGUUUGACGCUUCAAAAGUGUAUUCGGUGAAAAGAUGUCAUGACAUUACGAUAGCAGGUGGUUCUUAGAUGAGUUGUACCAACCGGAAAGCUAGUUGAAAACUUUACUUCUACAGGGCUUAAGCCAUUACAACCGAGUGCCUGGGACGAGUCAACGUCCUUUGCGCCAGCGAAUGUGAAUGAGGGCAGGAAGAUGACUAACGUGAUCCUUAAUACUGGACCUUGCAUUCGCGUGACUACUCAACAUGAUCAUUGUACAUCCUUUGUUUUCUCCAAGAAUACAGUCUGAAUUGGCAAGAAGCUGAGGCAGAACCACGAACACGUGUGACAGUGUAGUGGUCUUACGCUUGGAAACAUUUACUUCGCCGUCUUAAUGUUUUGCACUUUACUCAUCUGCCAAUAAAUGCCACUUUCAACCGCUAGCCACUCUGAAAUCUCGCUCGUAAUUGGGCGAUAAUUUUCACAGGAGAUAGUUGGGCUACGUUGACUGAUGAUCUGACUCACUGGCUGUUUAUAUCGAACCGGCGCUCAACAAUACAAAAUUUAUUAGCUUUGCUUGAUUACAAGUCAAACCAACUGAAUAACUUGCUCUAUUCAAAAGCGACAAAGUCAUCACGUUUUAUUUAGUUGAAACAAACCCAAAUUGGCAACCGUCGAUAUUUUUUUCUGGAAAAGAUUUGGAAAUUUUUUUACGCAGAACAUCUACUCACGCAAUCAGUUGGAGAUAUAUUACGUGUUGAUACCACAUAGUUACGUGCGUGUGACAUUUUAAACACGUUGUUUUUGUUAUUAUUGAUACUCUGUGCACAGUCACUGCACGAUAUAGUGUAUGCGUGGAAGUUAAUCUCAUCCAUCACAGGUGAACCAUUCGUGGUGUGAUUUUUUUUGUUGCUAACAAUUAAUCUUACCUGUAAAGCGGUUGUUUAUAUACCUAACUCAAGUUUGUUUAAGACUGUGUGCUUUUCAGGGAUUCAUAUACUCCAACAAACUCAAUUUCCAUUCCAUGUGUCAUGGUCAUAUAUAUGACAUCAUAGAAACUUGUAAGCAAACGACAAAACGAUAGGAAUCAACGCGUACGAUCAUAAUUAUCUUUGAGACGAAAUGGCCGCCGCCGAUACACUUAUGCCUUUACCAAUUGAGGAGAUAUACGGUAUAGGCCUAUGGAUGGAGCCAGUACAACAUUUGUUUCCGUUAUCAUUUUACCAACUAAAAUUCGUAAGGUUGAGAUGUUUGGAAAUGAACCAUAACAGUCCUACACCCUUCCGACUGACUGUUUUCCAGUUAGGCUUGGCAGCAACAACAAUAUGUUGGGGGUUUUUUGAGAAUAUCAUCGGCACUUUUUAUUCUACCUAUUGUUGUCUACAGUACUGAAAAUGCCAAAAAUUAAUAUAAUGAUAAUGAAGUUAUUGGUAAUGAAU